This 445-nucleotide ribosomal RNA is filed under the name uncultured bacterium. RNAcentral's name for it is "partial 16S ribosomal RNA". It matches the Rfam family "Bacterial small subunit ribosomal RNA", at positions 354 to 796 of the family's 1533-position model. The record is from RNAcentral.
GUGAGGAAUAUUGGUCAAUGGGCGGGAGCCUGAACCAGCCAAGUCGCGUGAAGGAAGAAGGAUCUAUGGUUCGUAAACUUCUUUUGCAGGGGAAUAAAGUGCAGGACGUGUCCUGUUUUGUAUGUACCCUGAGAAUAAGGAUCGGCUAACUCCGUGCCAGCAGCCGCGGUAAUACGGAGGAUCCGAGCGUUAUCCGGAUUUAUUGGGUUUAAAGGGUGCGUAGGUGGUUUGAUAAGUCAGGGGUGAAAGUUUGCAGCUUAACUGUAAAAAUGCCGUUGAAACUGUCGGACUUGAGUGUAAAUGAGGUAGGCGGAAUGCGUGGUGUAGCGGUGAAAUGCAUAGAUAUCACGCAGAACUCCGAUUGCGAAGGCAGCUUACUAAGCUACAACUGACACUGAAGCACGAAAGCGUGGGGAUCAAACAGGAUUAGAUACCCGAGUAGUCC